This 498-nucleotide ribosomal RNA is filed under the name uncultured bacterium. Its description in RNAcentral is "partial 16S ribosomal RNA". It matches the Rfam family "Bacterial small subunit ribosomal RNA", at positions 30 to 523 of the family's 1533-position model. The record is from RNAcentral.
AUUGAACGCUGGCGGCAUGCCUUACACAUGCAAGUCGAACGGUAACAGGUCUUCGGAUGCUGACGAGUGGCGAACGGGUGAGUAAUACAUCGGAACGUGCCCAGUCGUGGGGGAUAACGAAGCGAAAGCUUUGCUAAUACCGCAUACGAUCUACGGAUGAAAGCGGGGGAUCGCAAGACCUCGCGCGAUUGGAGCGGCCGAUGGCAGAUUAGGAAGUUGGUGGGGUAAAGGCUUACCAAGCCUACGAUCUGUAGCUGGUCUGAGAGGACGACCAGCCACACUGGGACUGAGACACGGCCCAGACUCCUAAGGGAGGCAGCAGUGUGGAAUUUUGGACAAUGGGCGCAAGCCUGAUCCAGCAAUGCCGCGUGCAGGAUGAAGGCCUUCGGGUUGUAAACUGCUUUUGUACGGAACGAAAAGCUCUGGGUUAAUACCCUGGAGUCAUGACGGUACCGUAAGAAUAAGCACCGGCUAACUACGUGCCAGCAGCCGCCGUAA